GACGAACGCUGGCGGCGUCGCCGUAACGACAUGCAAGGUCGAGCGAGAAUCUCAGUUAUUGGAUUUACGUUCGGAAUGAUUUAGUGAGAGGAAAGCGGCGGACGGGUGAGUAACGCGUGAGUAACCUGCCUUCAGGAGGGGGACAACAUUCCGAAAGGGAUGCUAAUACCGCAUGAUAUAUAUUGUAGGCAUCUACGAUAUAUCAAAGAUUUAUCGCCUGAAGAUGGACUCGCGUCUGAUUAGAUAGUUGGUGAGGUAAUGGCUCACCAAGUCGACGAUCAGUAGCCGAACUGAGAGGUUGAUCGGCCACAUUGGGACUGAGACACGGCCCAG
This 333-nucleotide ribosomal RNA is filed under the name uncultured bacterium. RNAcentral's name for it is "bacterial SSU rRNA". It matches the Rfam family "Bacterial small subunit ribosomal RNA", at positions 28 to 334 of the family's 1533-position model. The record is from RNAcentral.